CUUGGUCUAACUUAUACUGUUUAUUAUAACGCUAUUCGCAGCAAUAUCUUUCUCUGCUCUGAUUGCAACGCUGCCUCGUUCAAAAAUCAUAACACCGCCGCGGCCGCCACGUUUACCAGCCGGAGCCUCAAAUCAUGUCCCUUUGUGCUGAUAAAGAGGACACAGCCUGGUGUGAAACUACAUUUAUUACGGAAGGAUGCCAGCCGGGGUAAGUGAUAUAUAUAAAUAAUUAUAAUGUGGAAAUUCUAAUAAUUUUCACGCUGACAGCUGUUCUGAACUUGCUAACUGCAUGACUCCCCUCCUCCCGCGGCAAGAGGCCGAAUGGCCUACACACGACAGCUCCAGAUUCCUCCCCAUUACCACCUGUCAGCCUCGUCCAUGUAGCUAUCCAGUCUACUCUUAAAACAAGCUAUCGUCCCUGCACUCACUAUGUGAUUGCGGAAUCUAUUCCAUUCCCCCACCACCCUAUUAUUAAACCAAUGCCUGCCCAUUUCCCUCCUAAAUCUAUACUUUUAUAAUUUAAGUCAAUUACUGCAUGUUCUAUCUUGCCAAACAUCUUAUGCAAAAGUUGACCAGCAUCUUCACUCUUUCAUCCCUUACACUGAUAAACUGGAACAGCCUUCCAUUGUCUGCAUUUCCUCCUGCCUAUAAUUUGACCUUCAAGAAGAGUGUAUCAAGACUCUACUUUUGUCUGUUUGGGAGUGGUGAGUAGUGGGGCUUUUUUUUCUAGUACGCUUUGUUGCCCUUGAGCUGUCUCCUUUGUUUAAAGAAAAUAAUAAUUAAAUAAAUGGAAGUUGGCCGCCAAUGCUUCCAACACAUUUUGGUGACAUAUCUACAAGUGGCUGGUGACUGUAAGCAUCUCAGCAACCUGCAUGCAUCUAUGCCAUUCCUAUCAUGGUGCAUGGAGCAAGCUUCACAUAACACUCAGACAGAGACAGUUUAAUUAUGGUUACAUAUCAGACUCAGUUUAUUGCUCAGUCUAUUAGAUGCAGUGCUGUUAAUAUUGUUAGUGGUAGUAUUAGUACAAUUAAUGUAUUUAUUUUAAUUAAUUUAUCUAUUUAUUUAUUAUAUUCUUAGUGUUUGAAAAUUCCAAUACUAGUAUUAAGAUAAACAAAAAUAUCAGAAAUAUAUUUACACUCAUUAAUUAUUAUUGCUUUUCUUAUUAUUACUUCCUUCAAUGUCCUGGCAUUUUGACAUCUAGUGCUUUUCCAUCUAGCAACCAAAAUUGUGGUCUUUCUCAAUGUGUAUGCCCUAAGUCUUCAUUGGUGUAACUAGCUAUAUAACAUAAAAAUCUGCAUCUCUCUCUCUUCUCACCCAGUUGUCCCCGUACAUCCUUUCAGUAUCCAAAGAAUUUCAAUUUACAUCUUGUAAUCACUCAACUAAUGCAGUGCAAUCCUCAUUUCUGUAUUUUACUGUGUGGACAUACUCUUUCCUUCCAUGUUCCACUGUCGUAUGUUAUUCCACAUCUAACACAACCUCAUCCCAACAGACCCGAACACGUCCGAUAUCAUCCAAGAGAAUGUGGCAGCUGAAGGGGGAGAGGCCAAGAAAGAGGCCAAGGGUCAAGACAUUUAGCCACCCCUGAAGUACAUGGCAGCAUUCAACCUUCUUGGUGAGCUGCAGGAAUGUGCUUCCCAUUGCAGUGCACCAGCUCCAUGUACUGAUUUUGGGUGUGAACUUGAUGGGGCUGGAGGAAACUCGACUCGGCCAUCAAGCCCUCCACAAUAUAACAUGAAAAGUGAAAAUUGCUGCACACAACAGUCUGCCAUCUGCACCGGGAGGCAAGGCAGCUCAAAGCCCAGGCUGUUACAACUCCUGGGCAGUUUUUGCCCAGAGCCAGCAAUUUUUUAGAUCCAAUAGGGAUGGAUUUUUUCUGAGGUCAGGUUCAACAUGCUGCAAGAUGCCAAGAUCUAAGCCUAGUAGAAGAUAUGGGUUACAAGAGAGGAGGUUUGCUCUGGCCUUAUACUAUCAAAGUCCAAAUGCUAAUAGAUUUCUGAGCACAGUAUUUCACUUGCCUUCAGUUUCAACACUUCACUCAUGACUCAGGGGUAUUUCAGUACAUGUUGGCUGGAGCAAACAGGCUGACAGCCCUGCAGCAAAGAGCACAGGCUUUGUCAAAAGAAGAUAAACUUUGUGGGAUUUGCCAUUAUUUAGUAUUACUCUUGUUACUCCAAUAAUGUUUUUCCAUAUACUUUGCCAAAUAUUGCAAGUAAUGCACCAUUGUUGGGCUUGCUUGUUAUAAAUCAGAUCUUGUUCAAUUAACAAGCUUUGGGUGUCUGGCACUUUCCAGUUGUAAUGCAAGGAAUCAUUUAUCUUCCCUGCUAGAUAUCACAUGUAAUGCACCAUUGUUGGUUUUGCCUGUUAUAAAUCAGAUCUUGUUCAGUUAACAAGCUUUAAGUGUCUGCCACUUUCCAAUUGUAAUGCAAGGAAUCCCCUGCCAGAUAUCACAUGUAAUGCACCAUUGUUGGUUUUGCCUGUUAUAAAUCAGAUCUUGUUCAGUUAACAAGCUUUAAGUGUCUGCCACUUUCCAAUUGUAAUGCAAGGAAUCCCCUGCCAGAUAUCACAUGUAAUGCACCAUUGUUGGUUUUGCCUUUUAUAAAUCAGAUCUUGUUCAGUUAACAAGCUUUAGGUGUCUGCCACUUUCCAAUUGUAAUGCAAGGAAUCCCCUGCCAGAUAUCGCAUGUAACGCACCAUUGUUGGUUUUGCCUGUUAUAAAUCAGAUCUUGUUCAGCUCACAAGCUUUGAAUAUCUGCCAUUGUUUAUUUCAGGUGUAAUGCUUGGAAACAUUUGUUCUCUUCCCUACCCAACAGUAUGCAAUACUUUAUUGUGGAUUUUGCCUGUUAUGUUUAAUCUUGUUCAGGUAACAAGCUUUUGGUGUCUGCCUCACCUAAUAUGUGCUGCAGUGACACUUGUCUUGGUUUCAUGAUGUGAAAUACAGCAUGUAAUUUCAUCACACUAAGUGUCUAUCAUCACGUGUCUGGCAUCAUUAAUGUGGCUUCCAGGAGUAAUCUUGUUUGUAUUACAGCAUGCAAUUUUUUUUCUGCUUUAUAUGAUAUACAUAAUCACAUAGGUAUGAUUUACAAAAUGUAAUGGCAGUUGAUAUUCUUGACUAAUGCCUCAUAAACCUUGUGAAAAAUAAUGCUUUUUUGAGGGGGGGUGGGCAGAGAGUGCUUUGUUUGGUUGGCCAGUUCAAGGAGUUUCAUAUCAAAUGAUUUUAUUACAUCCAACUUUAAUGUGUGCUAAAAACAUAUAUUUUAUUACAUCCAACUUUAAUGUGUGCUUCCUGCAAUAAAUGCUACAUGUUUACUGAUGUAGCCUAUGAAAUACAUAUCACUCUCUGCCCUGUAAUUUAAUUGGUGUGUCACAUACUGCAGCAUAACUUUCCUGCUAUUUUCUUACACUAUGAGUUGCCUUAUUUUGUCUCACUUGCUUUUAUCAUAUGUGCCUCCGCUGCAUAGUUGUGCCUACUGAGCUUAAUAUCUUCAUGACCCUGACACCAUGGUCAGAGCUUGUGAGAUCAUACCGUGUCCUACAUUCCAUUUUCACCUCCAGGCUUGGCUGUCUCCCAGGACCACCAAGUUAUUGCAUUCCAUUUAAGACAACUCAUGUGUUACCUUCUUAAUGUCCUCCAUCAUGUAUUUCAGCAUGUCUUAUGAUGCUUUGCUCUUAUACUGAUGUGCCUUGCAACAUUUUUAUACAGUUUUCAUUGUAUAUAAUGCACCAUUGUUGUAUUUAAAGCACUGGAUAUGUUUGCUACA
Molecule: long non-coding RNA, 3758 nt
Organism: Eriocheir sinensis (Chinese mitten crab)
Lineage: Eukaryota; Metazoa; Arthropoda; Malacostraca; Decapoda; Varunidae
Exons: 3
Source: RefSeq, a predicted model, not a curated record